AGGCAAUAGAUACCCAGGUAGUCCUGGCAGUAAACGGUGCGCGUUUGGUGUGGGAGGAUUCGACCCCUUCUGUGCCGGAGCUAAACGCGUUAAACGCGCCGCCUGGGGAGUACGGUCGCAAGAUUAAAACUCAAAGAAAUUGACGGGGGCCCGCACAAGCGGUGGAGUAUGUGGCUUAAUUCGAUGCAACGCGAAGAACCUUACCAGGCCUUGACAUGCAUCUCUAAGUCGGUGAAAGCCGGCGAGUGUAGCAAUACACAAUUUGCACAGGUGCUGCAUGGCUGUCGUCAGCUCGUGUCGUGAGAUGUUGGGUUUAAGUCCCGCAACGAGCGCAACCUCUGUGAACUGUUGCCACCGGCCUUCGGGCCGAGCACUCUGUUCAGACUGCCCUGUGAAACGGGGAGGAAGGUGGGGAUGACGUCAAGUCAGCAUGGCCCUUACGGCCUGGGCUGCACACGUACUACAAUGCCCAGUACAGAAUGAACCGAAACCGCGAGGUGGAGGAAAUCUCAAAA
Molecule: ribosomal RNA, 515 nt
Filed under: uncultured bacterium
Lineage: Bacteria
Description: bacterial SSU rRNA
Rfam family: Bacterial small subunit ribosomal RNA
Source: RNAcentral